GUGGGGAAUAUUGGACAAUGGGCGAAAGCCUGAUCCAGCCAUGCCGCGUGUGUGAAGAAGGUCUUCGGAUUGUAAAGCACUUUAAGUUGGGAGGAAGGGCAGUAAGUUAAUACCUUGCUGUUUUGACGUUACCAACAGAAUAAGCACCGGCUAACUUCGUGCCAGCAGCCGCGGUAAUACGAAGGGUGCAAGCGUUAAUCGGAAUUACUGGGCGUAAAGCGCGCGUAGGUGGUUUUGUAAGUUGGAGGUGAAAUCCCCGGGCUCAACCUGGGAACUGCCUCCAAAACUGCAUGACUAGAGUACGGUAGAGGGUAGUGGAAUUUCCUGUGUAGCGGUGAAAUGCGUAGAUAUAGGAAGGAACACCAGUGGCGAAGGCGACUACCUGGACUGAUACUGACACUGAGGUGCGAAAGCGUGGGGAGCAAACAGGAUUAGAUACCCGAGUAGUCC
RNAcentral lists this ribosomal RNA (450 nucleotides) under uncultured bacterium. RNAcentral describes it as "partial 16S ribosomal RNA". It matches the Rfam family "Bacterial small subunit ribosomal RNA", at positions 354 to 796 of the family's 1533-position model. The record is from RNAcentral.